This 499-nucleotide ribosomal RNA is filed under the name uncultured bacterium. Its description in RNAcentral is "bacterial SSU rRNA". It matches the Rfam family "Bacterial small subunit ribosomal RNA", at positions 24 to 518 of the family's 1533-position model. The record is from RNAcentral.
UCAGGAUGAACGCUGGCGGCGUAGCCUAAUACAUGCAAGUCGAACGAGGUAGCAAUACCGAGUGGCGAACGGGUGAGUAACACGUAGGUAACCUGCCUUACAGUUUGGGAUACCCUGGCGAAAGCUAGGCUAAUACCGAAUAAUUGGAUUGGAGGCAUCUCCGAUCUCUAAAAGGGGCCCUUAAAGCCUCGCUGAAUGAUGGACCUGCGGCGCAUUAGCUAGUUGGUGAGAUAAUAGCCCACCAAGGCGAGGAUGCGUAGCCGACCUGAGAGGGUGAACGGCCACACUGGAACUGAGACACGGUCCAGACUCCUACGGGAGGCAGCAGUAGGGAGUUUUCGGCAAUGGGGGCAACCCUGACCGAGCAACGCCGCGUGAAUGAUGAAGGUCUUCGGAUUGUAAAGUUCUGUUAUAAGGGAAAAAUGAUAGGGUGAGGAAAUGCUCUCUAUUUGAUGGUACCUUAUUAGAAAGCCACGGCUAACUACGUGCCAGCCGCCGC